Molecule: long non-coding RNA, 511 nt
Organism: Mastomys coucha (southern multimammate mouse)
Lineage: Eukaryota; Metazoa; Chordata; Mammalia; Rodentia; Muridae
Exons: 3
Source: RefSeq, a predicted model, not a curated record
UAAUCUAUUUCAUUAACAAGUAUUUAGCAAUACAGAAAUAGCAAUGAUGUGCUAUGGCAAAUGCCACUGCUGAUUGCUCUCCUUCAAUUUCCUGCAUAGCUGAUUCAGCCUAUGACUGGAAAGACGAGAUAGAAAGACUGGACUUUUGAGAUCAGCCUGGGGUCCUAGGUGAAGAGAGAGAAAGAAGAGAAGACCCAUGAAGAGGAACAAAGAGGAGUGGAGAAAUUAUGCAGUGGCACCAGGAGGAUUUGCCAUAAGGUCCCAAUGAAAGAAUUGUCAUAAGGAAAAACAUGAACCAGAUGGAGACAAGGGAAGACAAGAUCAGCAAAUAUGAACACAGAGCUACCCUAGUCACAGAGCACAGACUGGAUAUUAGAAGGAUGGAAACUUGUCUCUCAGUUUUGGAAGCCAGAAGUCCAAGAAAACUGUCUUAGUGAGUUGGUUCCUCCUUGUGACUGUAAGGAUGGCUUUAUUCCAUGAAAGAUACAAACAAGAAUAGAUGCAACUUUAC